GGAGUUCUGCGGCGCAAGAGGAUCGAUUCUGACUGAGAUACACUCUCCUGAUGUUGACAGCUUGCUUUGGCAGUUACUUUUCUUUCUAUUGGGUAGUAUGGGAGUAAACGGAGAAGGGCUCUUCUGGACUGGUUUGCAAUACUCCAGCUCUCAAACAGCUUGGGUAUGGAAUGGAACCGGGAAAUCGUUGACAUCAUUCCAUCGUUUCAUGCCAUCAAUUCCGACCUACGCUGGUGGUAUGUGCAUGGGCAUUCCUUACGUCAAUCGGACGCUAAUUUGGAAAUGGACUUCAGUCAACUGUGACGACAAGAACAUCUUUGUCUGUCAGUACGAGUCUCCGGAGUUCUGGCUUUGACGACAGCGACAGCUUUUGAUUCCGUGCUGAAAAUCACAGCUGAACGACACCGAUCUUUUAACCCGCAUUAACAUCAGUGAAGAGAGCGUACACCAUCAACAUUUGCGUAGAGAGUGUACAACAUAAACUUUUGUGUAGAGAGUGUACACCAUUAACUUUUGUGUAAAAAGCGUACAACAUUAACCUUUGUGUAGAAUUAGUACAACAUCAAUAUUUGUGUAAAUAGCGUACAACAUUAUUAUUUGUGUAGAGAGCGUACAAUAUUAACGUUUGUGUAGAGAGCGUACAACAUUAACGUUUGUGUAGAGAUCGUACAACAUUGUUUGUGUAGAGAUCGUACAACAUUAACGUUUGUGUAGAGAAAGUACAACAUUAACAUUUAUGUAGAGAGCAUACACCAUUAACGUUUGUUUAGAGAGCGUACAACAUUAACGUUUAUGUAGAGAGCGCACAACAUUCACGUUUGUGAAGAGAGCGUACAACAUUAACGUUUGUGUAGAGAGCGUACAACAUUAACGUUUUGUAGAGAGUGUACACCAUUAACGUUUGUGUAGAGAGUGUACAACAUUAACGUUUGUGUAGAGAUCGUACAACAUUAACGUUUGUGUAGAGAGCGUACAACAUUAACGUUUGUGUAGAGAGCGUACAACAUUAACGUUUGUGUAGAGAUCGUACAACAUUAACGUUUAUGUAGAGAGCGUACAACAUUAACAUUUGUGUAGAGAGUGUACAACAUUAACGUUUAUGUAGAGAGCGUACAACAUUAACGUUUUGUAGAGAGCGUACAACAUUAACAUUUGUGUAGAGAGCGUGCAACAGUAACGUUUUGUAGAGAGCGUACAACAUUAAUGGUUGUGUAGAGAGCGUACAACAUUAACGUUUGUGUAGAGAGCGUACAACAUUAACGUUUUGUAGAGAGUGUACAACAGUAACGUUUGUGUAGAGAGCAUACAACAUUAACAUUUGUGUAGAGAUCGUACAACAUUAACAUUUAUGUAGAGAGUGUACAACAUUCACGUUGUGUAGAGAGUGUACAACAUUCACGUUGUGUAGUGAGUGUACAACAUUAACGUUUGUGUAGAGAGCGUUCAACAUUAACGUUUGUGUAGAGAGCGUACAACAUUAACGUUUUGUAGAGAGUGUACACCAUUAACGUUUGUGUAGAGAGUGUACAACAUUAACGUUUGUGUAGAGAUCGUACAACAUUAACGUUUGUGUAGAGAGCGUACAACAUUGACGUUUGUGUAGAGAGCGUACAACAUUAACGUUUGUGUAGAGAUCGUACAACAUUAACGUUUAUGUAGAGAGCGUACAACAUUAACAUUUGUGUAGAGAGUGUACAACAUUAACGUUUAUGUAGAGAGCGUACAACAUUAACGUUUUGUAGAGAGCGUACAACAUUAACAUUUGUGUAGAGAGCGUGCAACAGUAACGUUUUGUAGAGAGCGUACAACAUUAAUGGUUGUGUAGAGAGCGUACAACAUUAACGUUUGUGUAGAGAGCGUACAACAUUAACGUUUUGUAGAGAGUGUACAACAGUAACGUUUGUGUAGAGAGCAUACAACAUUAACAUUUGUGUAGAGAUCGUACAACAUUAACAUUUAUGUAGAGAGUGUACAACAUUCACGUUGUGUAGAGAGUGUACAACAUUCACGUUGUGUAGUGAGUGUACAACAUUAACGUUUGUGUAGAGAGCGUUCAACAUUAACGUUUGUGUAGAGAGCGUACAACAUUAGCGUUUGUGUAGAGAGCGUACAACAUUAACGUUUUUGUAGAGAGCGUACAACAUUAACGUUUGUGUAAAUAGCUUACAACAUUAUCAUUGAUGUAGAGAGCGUACAACAUUAACGUUUUUGUAGAGAGCGUACAACAUUAACAUUUGUGUAGAGAGCGUACAGUAUUAACGUACGUGUAGAGAGCGUGCAUCAUUAACGUUUGUGUAGAAUUAGUACAACAUUUACAAUUGUGAUUAAAGCGUAAAAGUUCCAACAUUUGUGUCGAAUUUGUACAACAUGAGCAUUCGUGUCUGGUGUU
Pecten maximus is the source of this 2389-nucleotide long non-coding RNA. RefSeq lists it as uncharacterized. The transcript is spliced from 3 exons. The record is from RefSeq and is a predicted model, not a curated record. Lineage: Eukaryota; Metazoa; Mollusca; Bivalvia; Pectinida; Pectinidae.